This 535-nucleotide ribosomal RNA is filed under the name Mesocriconema sp. p XZ-2021. RNAcentral's name for it is "SSU rRNA". It matches the Rfam family "Eukaryotic small subunit ribosomal RNA", at positions 1026 to 1588 of the family's 1831-position model. Lineage: Eukaryota; Metazoa; Nematoda; Chromadorea; Rhabditida; Criconematidae. The record is from RNAcentral.
CUGACCGUAAACGAUGCCAACUAGCGAUCCGUCGGCGGCUCUACGGCCCUGAUGGGGAGCUUCCCGGAAACGAAAGUCUUCCGGUUCCGGGGGAAGUAUGGUUGCAAAGCUGAAACUUAAAGGAAUUGACGGAAGGGCACCACCAGGAGUGGAGCCUGCGGCUUAAUUUGACUCAACACGGGAAAACUCACCCGGCCCGGACACCGUGAGGAUUGACAGAUUGAUAGCUUUUUCAUGAUUCGGUGGUUGGUGGUGCAUGGCCGUUCUUAGUUCGUGGAUCGAUUUGUCUGGUUUAUUCCGAUAACGAGCGAGACUCCAGCCUACUAACUAGUACGGGCAUUGCCUCUGUGCCCGGCACUUCUUAGAGGGAUUGGCUGCGUCUAGCGGCACGAAACGGAGCAAUAACAGGUCUGUGAUGCCCUUAGAUGUCCGGGGCUGCACGCGCGCUACACUGGCAAAGGCAGCGUGCUUGUCCGUCUCCGAAAGGAGCCGGUAAACCCUUGAAAAUUUGCCGUGAUUGGGAUCGGAAAUUGCA